RNAcentral lists this long non-coding RNA (2779 nucleotides) under Haliotis rufescens (red abalone). RNAcentral's name for it is "uncharacterized LOC124122745". The record is from RNAcentral. Lineage: Eukaryota; Metazoa; Mollusca; Gastropoda; Lepetellida; Haliotidae.
AAGUAUAAGAGUUAUGAUCACCUUAGCCACCCAUUCCCCCUGGUCCCUGUUCUACAAAGUGAUCUUAGCGAUACAACUAUCGUAAGCCAAUAUGAAAGUCUAAGAGUUACGAUCACCUUAGCCACCCAUUCCCCCUGGUCCCUGUUCUACAAAGUGAUCUUAGCAAUACAACUAUCGUAAGCCAAUAUGAAAGUAUAAGAGUUACGAUCACCUUAGCUACCCAUUCCCCCUAGGCCCUGUUUCACAGAAGUGAUCUAUCUUAGCGAUACAACUAUCAUAAGCCAAUAGUAAAGCAUAAGAGUAAUGAUCACCUCAGUACUAAGAUCGCUUUGUGGAACAGGGCUCCACUUAAAGGGAAGGUAAGAUGACUAGUACACAUCAAUCAACAUUUAAUCUCACUGCUUGCUACUGUAAUGUCCUUUCACUCCCCCUCCCUCCCCUUGCCUUGCCCCAAUCAUGCUGACUUAUCAAUUAUUUCAGUGUCAGUGUCUGUACCAUUCAUGUUUUGUUCAUAAGAAACCAACAGAACUUUAAAAAUUAUUUGACUAUUGUGUUCUUCAAACUGGCCCUAUAUUUAAACCUGUAGGUAGAGAAAGCCAUUCGUAGGGUCAGAUUUAGCUGAAAGAUAAGAAACUGAGUGUUUUCUGUGGUAGGACUGUGAGAACCAGAGGGACACGCCCACUGGACAAAGUCCUGUUGUUUCAAGUGGGGAAGUGUUGUGUCCUUAUGAUGGAAUGUGGUCAAGGAGGUAACACUUGACCCUCUCCUUCUACAUGGUCACAGUGACCUUCCCAGGCCUGACUCCAUCCUCUCACUGGUGACCGCCUCCAUGGUCGAAUGAAGUGAGUGUCUGCCAAGGUCGGUGGUCACGUUGUGUCUUGGGUAUAUGACAAUGGUAUGACACAUGGUCACACUGUGCCUGGCGUAUAUGACAAUGGUAUGAAACAUGGACACAUUGUGCCUGGCGUAUUUGACAAUGGUAUGAAACAUGGACACAUUGUGCCUGGUGUAUAUGACAAUGGUAUGACACAUGGACACAUUGUGCCUGGCGUAUAUGACAAUGGUAUGACACAUGGUCACAUUGUGCCUGGCGUAUAUGACAAUGGUAUGACACAUGGACACAUUGUGCCUGGCGUAUAUGACAAUGGUAUGACACAUGGUCACAUUGUGCCUGGCGUAUAUGACAAUGGUAUGACACAUGGACGCAUUGUGCCUGGCGUAUAUGACAAUGGUAUGACACAUGGACGCAUUGUGCCUGGCAUAUAAGACAAUGGUAUGACACAUGGUCACACUGUGCCUGGCGUAUAUGACAAUGGUAUGACACAUGGACACAUUGUGCCUAGCGUAUAUGACAAUGGUAUGACACAUGGACACAUUGUGCCUGGCGUAUAUGACAAUGGUAUGACACAUGGUCACAUUGUGCCUGGCGUAUAUGACAAUGGUAUGACACAUGGACACAUUGUGCCUAGCGUAUAUGACAAUGGUAUGACACAUGGUCACAUUGUGCCUAGCGUAUAUGACAAUGGUAUGACACAUGGUCACAUUGUGCCUGGCGUAUAUGACAAUGGUAUGACACAUGGACAUAUUGUAUUGUGUAUAUGACAAUAGUAUGACACAUGAACACAUUAUGUCUUGUGUAUACGACAAGGCACAUUAACAACCAUGAGAAACAGACACAGAUGUAUAAAACAAUCACACACUGACAGCUCCGUGAGAAUGUCGACUCAUCAAUAGACCCACACAGAUGCCCAGCAGCCAAGAUGACAAGACGUCACAAGUCCAGUAAUGUAUUCCUAACCACACACUCCAUUAGCAACUGUCCCAGAAGCUACUUCUACUGAACUGAGGUCAAUGAAUGCGCUGAUUACUCAAAUCUCCAUAUGAUAGGGUUAUGCACUGACUGUGAGACUUACAGACAUUCAUAGGAACAUGACCCACAAUAGAAGCAUUGUGUUCACUUGUUGUGAAUAUAUUAACACAAUUGAUGUGUCCACAAUACUGACCAUACCCUGUAUAAUACCUUCUUGUCGUCCUUCACAGAGUAAAUAUACCAGUCUACACAGGAGAUGAAGAUGGCUGUCAAGAUGUUCCCAUCUGUUCCUGGGUCAUCUAGGAUCACUAGCCACUGAAUACAUUCGACAAAUGUUUACAGCGAGUCAGCUUGAUGUGCAGGGUAGGAGGGAAGUGAUGCAGGCCUCAGACGGUUACCCGGUACCACUUUGGUGAAACUCACCUGCACAGUGAUGACCACAUGGGACACAGUGGAUGGACUGACACAUCUUGUCAUGUGAGAAACAAACCCAUGUGUUUGGCAUGACCAGACCCGCUAGGCUACCUAACCAACCCUUGGUACGUCACAGCCUACAUACACAAGACACAGUGUUAUGAUUCAAAGAUGAGGCUACAACUAGGAUGCCUUGUCCUCCCAUGACUGCAAUGCCUGGCAACCUGCAGCUGUAUCAACUCACACUGAGUAACUUUCCUUAUGAAAUAUGUUUUUAUCUGUUUUAGAUAUACAACAUUAAAUAUAGAUCUCAACAUGUGGAAAGUUUAGUCCUUAUCUGUCCCUCACUACUCCCCCGCACUGUCAGCGAAGUCAGGAGUGGGCGGUCGUGUUUAGAAUGAACCUACAUGGUAAAUAAAUGUGUUUGAGUUGUAUCUUUGUACAACAUUGCUAAAAUGCGGUGAAAAAUCGGGAGUCAGUUAAUUAACUGAUAAGGUUAUCUUUUUCAAAUUUGUUACUAAAUUUACCAGAACAUAUGACAACUGAUAUGAUUAU